GACGAACGCUGGCGGCGUGCCUAAUACAUGCAAGUCGAACGCUGAAGCAGGAGCUUGCUUCUCUGGAUGAGUGGCGAACGGGUGAGUAACGCGUAGGUAACCUGCCUGGUAGCGGGGGAUAACUAUUGGAAACGAUAGCUAAUACCGCAUAACAGUAGAUAUCGCAUGAUAUCCACUUGAAAGGUGCAAUUGCAUCACUACCAGAUGGACCUGCGUUGUAUUAGCUAGUUGGUGAGGUAACGGCUCACCCAGGCGACGGUACAUAGGCGGCCCGAGGAGGGGGUCCGCCCCCCUGGGACUUGGACCACGCCCCGACCCCUUCGGGGAGCAGCCGUAGGGGAUCUUCGGCCAUGGACGGCAGUCCUAACGAGCAACUCCGCGGGAGGGAAGAAGGGUCUCGGAUCGUAAAGCUCUGUUGUUAGGGAAGAACGAGUGUGAGAGUGGAACGUUCACACUGUGACGGUAGCUUAACAGAAAGCGACGGCUAACUACGUG
Molecule: ribosomal RNA, 495 nt
Filed under: uncultured bacterium
Lineage: Bacteria
Description: partial 16S ribosomal RNA
Rfam family: Bacterial small subunit ribosomal RNA
Source: RNAcentral